This 4451-nucleotide long non-coding RNA is filed under the name Sus scrofa (pig). RNAcentral's name for it is "lncRNA (ENSSSCG00055011962.1)". The record is from RNAcentral. Lineage: Eukaryota; Metazoa; Chordata; Mammalia; Artiodactyla; Suidae.
CCUGUGUUUCAUGUGCAUGUCUGUAUUGUACUGCCAGGCAAACACACAUGACUCUGAUAGAAACUAGUCAUUCUAGAUGUCAUUAAAUUGCACAGAAUUAGACUACUUAAAAUGGUAUGAUUAUCACAACAUUUAUUCCUAUUUUCCAUCUCAGAUCCUUAAAAACUAUUAAGGGAAAAUAUUUUCAACUCAUUCAUGGUGUACCACCAUGAGGUCAGGAAAAGUCUAAUUUUAAAGAUUAUGGGAUUUGAAUUGGAAGAAAUUUAAUUGCAAAAAUAACCCUAUAUCUUAAAAGAGUAUAGAAGGGAAAAGAGUGCUUUCUAUUACGCUACAAAUUCACAGGGGGGUGUUCCAUGAGAAGAUCUAGUUCUUGCCAUAUUUGACAAAAUUUAGCUUUAUUUUUGAAGUUCGUUUUUUUGAGGUAUACAUUGUGCACAAUAAAAUUCACCCUUUUUAGGUGCGUAUUUCUAUGAAUUUUGACAAAUGCAUACUGUAAGUUUGGCCAAAAGGAUGAGACCCAAAUUCAGGCAUAAAAGACUUUAUUAGUGGGGUAUACUGUCCUGCUGAUUCACAAAGGGAUCAGCCAGCCAUUUGAGGAGGGUGGUUAUGUGUGGGUGCCAAGAAAGGGGGUUUCUGUGCAGAAGCUGAUUGGCCAUUUUUUAUGCAAAAUAGAGUGAAAAGGAACAGACCAAUCUGUUUACUUUCAACAAACUAUGUAAAUAGGGUGAAAAAGGAACAGACCAAUCUGCAGGGGUUUAGACACUCUCCUAGGUGAGGUAGUCUUAAAGUUUGGGUCACAUGAUUUCGGGGAAGACCUAGUCAUGUCUUAGAUAUGUUUCUCCAGGAGUCGGGGGGAGAGCUUGGAAUCAGGUUUCGUUUUUUCCAUUUUUCCUGAGGCGAACCUAACACAUACAUUCAUGUUACUACCAUCAGAAUAAAAACAUAGAUCGUUUUCAUCAUAUUGAAAAAUCCCCUUAUGCACCCUUGUAAUCAACUUCCUCUUCCCAUCCUAGACUCUGGCAACUAGUGGUCUAUGUCCUGUUCCUCUUAUUUUGCUUUUACCAGAAUAUUAUACAAAUGGAUUUAUACAGUAUUUAGCUUGUGGGACUAGCUUCUACAAAUCCAAGUGCAUCUGAUAGUCAUCUAUCACUUUGUGUACAUGCAAAGUUUCCUUUAUUGCUGACUAAUAUCUCAUUAUUUGAAGGUAGCAUUAUUUGCUGAUCCAUUCUACAAUUGAUGGACAUUUGAGUUAUUUCCAGACUUUGACGGUUAUGAGUAAAGUUGCUAUAAACAUAUGAAUGCAGGUUUUUGUAUAUACAUAUAUUUUCAUUUCUUCUGGGUAAGUAGGACUGCUGCAAUGUAUGGUAACAUUUGUUCAAAUUUUUGUUUUUAAAUAUUUGGUGGUUUAUUUUCUUAAUAGUGAAAUAUUCAUUCAUUAAUUAUUAAGUAUUCUUUAUACAUCUGGAAGCCAGUUAGUUAUCAUAUAUUUAUUGCAUAUGUGUUUUGUAAAUAUUUUUUUCUAGCUUCUGGUUUUCUUUUCAUUUUUAUAGUAUCUUUCAAAGAGCAAAAGCUUUUCAUUUUUAUUGUGUCCAGUUUAACAAACUUUAUUUUAUAAUUCUUUCGUCUUUGCCUAAGCCAAGAUCUCAAAGAGCUAAGAAAAAUUACUAUUCAUUUCUUUGAGGAGAGUUUGUAAGGCAUGGUAAUGAUGUAUACACAGCAGGCAUGGAAAAGUCAGGCUCUGGAAUCUAGCGCAUGACACCUGUUAGACCAAGAGAGGACUCCGUGGAUCUAACCAGCACAUAGACUCUGAUUAUCUAGGAGUAAACAGACACAUAGACACAGUGUGCAAAAAGGCAGAGCAAAUUCCAUGUGUGAUCCAGGUAACUGUCAACAACAAGGGGUCAGAGGACAGAUGGCUGAUAAUAAGGUGAGGGCUUUGAGGAUCAACGUAGUUGGAAUGUCGUUAUUCAGUUAAUCUGCCCCCUAGUGUUGGAAAUCCAGCUGUCUUGAUGAUUAUUUCAUUCAUAACCCCAACAUGACCAUGUUCAUUUCUGAGAGAGAAGAUCAAGAAUCACGGGGUUUUGGCUCUCUGUUCUGGGGAAGAUUUGGGGCUUGCAGUUUUUUUGGGUUUUUUGUUUUUGUUUUUGUUUUUUCCAGAUUCUUUGUUUCAUUUUUGUUUGUUUGAUUUUUGCUUGUUUUUUCCUCCAGUUUUAUUGAGAUAUAAUUGACACAGAACAUUGUGUAAGUUUAAGGUGUACAAAGCGUUGAUUUGAUAUAUUUAUAAAUUAAAAAACUACUACCAUCAUUGCAUUAUCUAACAACUUUAUUCCAUCACAUAAUUACUACUUCUUUUUUGUGGUGUGAAGAUUUAGGGUCUACUCCUCUUAGCAACAUUCAAGUAUAUGAUGCAGUUUUAUUAGUUAUAAUCAUUAGAUCAUGUUCUGAGGGAAUUUAAUUCCAGGAGUGGCGAGCUGCAGUACAAAAGCCUGUGAUGUGCUCUUUAUAAGAUCACAGUUCUUAAAGAACUGUCUUUGAAUCAGAACCACCUGUGAGGUCGUUUCCUAUGCAGAUGCCCUGCCCGCCUGGGGCCCACCUCAGGCUAGUUGAAUCAGAAGUACUUGGAAGAUGGCCAGGAAGGCUCUCAAAUUUUUAUAAGUUUUCCAGGAGACUGGUAAAACACUCCAGUGACUUAAGGUAUAACAAAUAUUAAACACCAAAGGAUUGGAAUAAAGGAAAGAUGUGAGGAGAGGCAACUUUAUGAUUUUAUCUAGUUCCUGCUUUUGGAUGGAUUAUUUCAGGAGCUGGAGCUAUGUCUGAUUCAAGAAGUAAAACAAAUCAGAAGUAUUUCUGCAGAGGCAGAAAAUGGAAAGGAAGAACUAAUAUUGUGAACUAACAUAUCAUUUGGCAAUAUACUAUACAAUGUGUAAUUAAUAUAUUACAGAUAGAUAAAUAAGUAGCGGAUAGAUGAAUAAUAUAGGCAGAAUAAUUUGUAUAAAUAGCAGUUUCAGUAAUUAUGGAAACAGUGUAAAUAUAAUAAUCAGGAGUUCCCGUUGUGGCUCAGUGGUUAACAAACUGAUUAGCAUCCAUGAAGAUACAGGUUCAAUCCCUGGCCUUGCUCACUGGGUUAAGGAUCCAUUGCCAUGAGCUGUGGUAUAGGUUGCAGAUGCAGCUCAGAUGCAGUGUUGCUGUGGCUGUGGUGUAGGCCAGCAGCUACAGCUUUGAUUUGUCCCCUAGCCUGGGAACCUCCAUAUGCUGAGGGUGCGGCCAUAAAAAGACAAAAAAUAAACAAUAUUUAACUGGAAAAUUUUGGGUUUUGUUUUGAAUAAAACAUUUUAUUUCAUCAUGUGAAGUGGCAGCAUCAUCUUAAUGCAUCUUAAUAUAUAUCAAAAAUAUAUCAGGAUUUAGGUUGUAUUUAGUAUUUAAUUGUGAAAAUAAAGGCAUUUCAGUAACUGAAACCUGGGAAGUCUUUUGAUUAUGAAUGGCUACCUGCAUUCAUUCUUUAUCAAAACUCCUAAAGAUUAUUUCUUGAUUUUUUUUCUCUAUUCUGGGUAUGGUACAAUGCUUAUUUAUCUCAGGUUGGUUUCUAAUUCCCUGAUUCUACACAUUUAAAAUGAAUCUCUAUAAUGCAAGGAAACUGUAGUCUGUAAGUACGAAUAAAAAUAUGAAUAGAAUAUGUUCUGUGAGAUAAAACAGUGAGCUAUUUUAAAUCUGUAACAUAAAAUCUUACCUAAAAAUAUCAAUUAUGGGUCAUUCUUGGUUAAAUAAAAAACUGAAAAGAACCACAGGCAAUUCUCUUUCAAGCACAAAGCCAUCAGCCCAGGAAGACUGACUUCUGAGUUGCUGAUGUCAAUUUCACAAGUGGAAAAAGAGACCUUUGUCCCUGUGAGCUUGUGGCUGCUUUGUUUCUCUGUUCUACUCCAGUAACUCACCAAAAAUGAAAAACAGACUUUGGUUCUAUUAUAGCAUUAUUUUAAAAAGAGUAAGUCAUGUUACUGCAUAUAAGCGAAUUUGGUUGGCUUUGGCUGCAGCAGAAAUUAACAAGGUGUCAAAUGAACAUCGUGACCCCAUUUUUAUCUCAGGCGGACUAUAUUCAUAACUGAGAGCAGGGCCUCCUUCUGCAGCUCAGCGAAACUGGAUUGUGAAGAAUUUCACAAGCUCAGCUGAUUCUGGGAGACAGAAAAUCUCCUGCAUCCUGAGUAUCAUCUGGUAAGAACAUUUCCACACUCCGUGACUCACGUGAGCCUCGAUCUCACGGGGCUGUUACUUCCCCCUAAUCAUAUUCACAACCUCUGCUUCCCUGAGUGUGGAGAAUCUACAUAAAGAAAGUGCCCUUUCAGCUGUAGUUUUUCUCCACACAGCCCUACCCUGAUUUUGGAAAAGCUCAACUCUUGGCCUCCCCUGGGCACACAGAACAGCAGAAUAGAACAGUGAAAACUGCCAAAAUGCUAAUC